UAGGGAAUAUUGCAAAAUGGGCGAAAGCCCGAUGCAGCAACGCCGCGUGGGCGAUGAAGGCCUUCGGGUCGUAAAGCCCUUUUUGAGGGGAUGAGGAAGGACAGUACCCUCAGAAUAAGCCUCGGCUAACUACGUGCCAGCAGCCGCGGUAAAACGUAGGAGGCGAGCGUUAUCCGGAUUUACUGGGCGUAAAGCGCGUGCAGGCGGAUUGGAGAGUUGGAUGUGAAAGCUCCCGGCUUAACUGGGAGAGGUCGUUCAAUACUUCCAGUCUUGAGUGCAGUAGAGGGAAUUGGAAUUCCGGGUGUAGUGGUGAAAUGCGUAGAUAUCCGGAGGAACACCAGUGGCGAAAGCGGCUUCCUGGACUGUAACUGACGCUCAGACGCGA
This 385-nucleotide ribosomal RNA is filed under the name uncultured bacterium. RNAcentral's name for it is "bacterial SSU rRNA". It matches the Rfam family "Bacterial small subunit ribosomal RNA", at positions 355 to 756 of the family's 1533-position model. The record is from RNAcentral.